RNAcentral lists this ribosomal RNA (547 nucleotides) under uncultured bacterium. RNAcentral describes it as "bacterial SSU rRNA". It matches the Rfam family "Bacterial small subunit ribosomal RNA", at positions 355 to 896 of the family's 1533-position model. The record is from RNAcentral.
UGGGGAAUAUUGCGCAAUGGGGGGAACCCUGACGCAGCCAUGCCGCGUGAAUGAAGAAGGCCUUCGGGUUGUAAAGUUCUUUCGGUAUUGAGGAAGGUUGAUGUGUUAAUAGUACAUCAAAUUGACGUUAAAUACAGAAGAAGCACCGGCUAACUCCGUGCCAGCAGCCGCGGUAAUACGGAGGGUGCGAGCGUUAAUCGGAAUAACUGGGCGUAAAGGGCACGCAGGCGGUUAUUUAAGUGAGGUGUGAAAGCCCCGGGCUUAACCUGGGAAUUGCAUUUCAGACUGGGUAACUAGAGUACUUUAGGGAGGGGUAGAAUUCCACGUGUAGCGGUGAAAUGCGUAGAGAUGUGGAGGAAUACCGAAGGCGAAGGCAGCCCCUUGGGAAUGUACUGACGCUCAUGUGCGAAAGCGUGGGGAGCAAACAGGAUUAGAUACCCCGGUAGUCCACGCUGUAAACGCUGUCGAUUUGGGGAUUGGGCCUUGAGCUUGGUGCCCGAAGCUAACGUGAUAAAUCGACCGCCUGGGGAGUACGGCCGCAAGGUUA